Molecule: long non-coding RNA, 199 nt
Filed under: Lathyrus oleraceus (garden pea)
Lineage: Eukaryota; Viridiplantae; Streptophyta; Magnoliopsida; Fabales; Fabaceae
Description: Pisum sativum (pea) long non-coding RNA (PSAT_LNC028784)
Source: RNAcentral
UCAAGAGUCCUUCAACUACAUCAGCAGACAAGAUGGACAGAAGCUUCCCAUGACGUUGUUUGAAAUCCAAGGGAUCUAAUACAAUAGAUGCUAGCUUCCUUAACUCUUUCAAAUCUGGACAUCUGAAACUGUACUUCUUAGUGUUCCUUCGUCCACAAUCCAUGGUCUAAAAAUAUUUGCAAAUGAUACCUUAGUGUCG